UGAUUAUAAAUUAAUGUAAAUUUACCAGAGUACUAUGAACAUGUAGUUUAAAACUCAAAGGGCUUGGCGGUGCUUUAGACUCUUCAGGGGAACCUGUCUCGUAAUCGAUAGUCCACGAUAUACCUAACCUUUUUUAGACAUCAGUAUGUAUACCGUCGUCGUCAGGUAACUUUUAAAAAUAAAGAAGUUAGCAACAAAAAUUAGAAUAAUUUUGUACGUCAGAUCAAGGUGCAGCUCAUAAAAAGGUGAGGAUGGGUUACAAUUAAGAAUUAUAAUAACGGAAAGAGGUUUGGCAUAACCUCUAAUG
Molecule: ribosomal RNA, 307 nt
Filed under: Alviniconcha boucheti
Lineage: Eukaryota; Metazoa; Mollusca; Gastropoda; Provannidae
Description: partial small subunit ribosomal RNA
Source: RNAcentral